RNAcentral lists this ribosomal RNA (343 nucleotides) under uncultured Planctomycetota bacterium. Its description in RNAcentral is "bacterial SSU rRNA". It matches the Rfam family "Bacterial small subunit ribosomal RNA", at positions 29 to 351 of the family's 1533-position model. Lineage: Bacteria; Pseudomonadati; Planctomycetota. The record is from RNAcentral.
AACGAACGCUGGCGGCAUGGCUAAAACAUGCAAGUCGCACGAGAAAGUUCCCUUCGGGGAGCGAGUAAAGUGGCGAAAGGGCGAGGAAUGCAUGGGUAACGUACCCUAAGCACGGGGACAGCCGCGGGAAACUGCGGUUAAUACCCGAUGAGACCACAGUGUCAUAUGGCACAGCGGUCAAAGGGCGGGGUUCCUUCGGGAACCUGUUGGCUUGGGAGCGGCCCAUGUCCUAUCAGCUUGUUGGUGAGGUAACGGCUCACCAAGGCUUCGACGGGUAGCGGGACUGAGAGGUUGACCCGCCGCAUUGGGACUGAGACACUGCCCAGACUCCUACGGGAGGCUG